GGAGUUGGCCACUUGUAGUAGCUCUCCGCGAACUUCGAUAUCGGUCACUUCUGAACUAGAAUAGUAAGAUUCAGAACACGAGUAGGAAAGCAGGAGGAACAAGUCUAGUUAUUCGAGUUGAUGGAUAAAAUUGUUACCCAGUAAUUACCAAUGGCGACAACAGGGUGGCCAGCAAGCCAAGUAGGAAUCCUUCACCGGGCUUGUGAAGAAGCAGCUCCGAGAAACGGUUAAGGUACAGGAAUGCAAGAGGAAUUCCCCAAACCUUGAAGUGAGGAAAUUAACGUCUCACCAUUUGCGUUGGCGACCUCCACUGCAAUAUCUAAAGCUGAUUUUUGGAAUCCUACCACUGUAAUGCUCUUUUUUUUUUAUUAAAUCCUUGGCUCUAGAGGUACCCAUGGCAGAGUAGUCCAUAGAAUGGAUCACUUGUCCUUGGAACACCUCAGGCCCUUUGCCUAUUGGAAAAGUAGGAAUAUUGGGGAGCUGCUGAACCGUCCGAUGCAGAGGAUCAGAAAAUCUACGCGGUAGAUCUGGCAUGUAAGUGGAAGGCAAUUAUUAUUCUGUGAUUUAUGAAAAGUACAGCAAGAUCAGAAUAUUAAUCCAUCAACCUCUUUCUACUUAGUAGUAGUGUUAAUAGAUCCCAAGAACACAUCAUUCAAUCUGAUUUGCUCGAACUAUGAAGUUAGGUUGAAUUGCCUGUUGGAUCAAGAUCUUUAUUCUUUAUUGGAUCAUUCUGAGUUUAUUUAUCGGAGGCUCCAACGGCAAAUUUUUUAGGUUAGAUCUGUCAUGGAAGUAGAUGGUUCGAGAAUAAUCUUAAGCUUAAACUUCUAGAUAACGAUGAAUUAGUAUAUUGUAUUCAACACCUUGUUUCCAUUCUAUUAUUAAAGGCUGAAUCUCGAUCGGUGAUCGUUUGCUUUA
Long non-coding RNA from Ananas comosus (pineapple), 915 nucleotides. RefSeq lists it as uncharacterized. The transcript has 2 exons. The record is from RefSeq and is a predicted model, not a curated record. Lineage: Eukaryota; Viridiplantae; Streptophyta; Magnoliopsida; Poales; Bromeliaceae.